CUAGACUAUAACCAAAAAAAUUGAAUUUUUUUCAAUAAUAAUAAUGAUAAUAUUUCAUACUUUCAUUUGAUUUAUAUUGAUUAUUUAUUAUUUAUUUUAUAUUUAUUUAAAGUUGUUUUUUGAUGUGGUAUAUUUCAUCUCAAACAACAUAAAUUUCUCAAAUAAUUGAGACAAGUAUUUUUCAAUGAAAUAUUCAAAUGUCUUGCACAAAAAACAAAUAGAGUAUUUGCUAUCAAAUUUGAAUGAUCAAUAAGUGAUUGAAUUCAAAUUAAGGUAGAAUCUGAUUCUACAAACCGCCAGUUUGUAUAAACUAAUAUUGAACUGUUUGAUCAAAUCAUCGAAAUGUAAUGCUCGAUAAUAAAAAAUGUUAACUUUAUUUAAAGGGGAAUAUUGAAAUUUAAUUUAAUCAUCUAUUAAAUUUGGUGCUCUAAAGUUACACAAGACAAUUUCUGAUUUUUAAUUUAACCUAAAAAUGUUUUUAGGAGUACUGAAUAGGAUUUGGUUACCUGCUGAAUGAUAAAGUGCUAGGCAUAUGGAUGGGUGGUAGAAGGGCCCCUUUACUCUGGUUUCUGGAAUCACUGUUGCGACUAAAUCACAACAAAUAUAACAAAACGUCACAAACAUAUCACAAAACAUUAAUUACAAUUAUUAUUACUGACAAUUUCAAUCAAAUAAUGUGCAAACACAUGGAAGCACAUAUGGUUAUAUUUUUCAACAAAAAAGAUCAAAACAUUGAAUGAAUAAUGAUUGAGAAAAUAAAAUUAUCGGAAUUUUGUCAUUAUUGUUGCCUAAAAAUUGAUACAUUUUUAUACUUCUAGUGAAAAAACAUUGAGAUUAUUAAUUAACUUAAAGAGCCAUGUAAGCAGAAAAGAAGGAAUUAUGUUUGCACGAUUUUGUAGGUAUUGUUAUAAACACAUAUUGAUUCUUACAAAGUGCAACAGAAAAAAGAACUCAGACUAUCAAGAAUAAUGAAAUCAAAUUACCUAAGAAAGGAUCCUCUAAGAGUUGACUUGCUGUUGCCCGUUUAUCAGGGUUUGGUUCGAAACAUCUGAGAAUGAAAUUUCUUGCAACCUCUGACAGCUCUUUUGGAACUUCAGGAUGAAUUUUAUAAUAUCCUACUUUGAACACAGCAGCUUGAGGCGAACCCAAUUCAUUGAACGGUGGCUUACCAGUAGCCAUUUCAACCACAGUGCAUCCCAAAGACCAAAUAUCUGCUGGAGCACCAUAACCUCGCUGCCCUUUGUCGAUUACCUCUGGGGCCAUAUACUGAAGAGUACCUAGUAAAUAAUAGCACUAUACCAAAUUUCUGCUGUUGAAGAAA
This is a long non-coding RNA of Harmonia axyridis, 1321 nucleotides long. RefSeq lists it as uncharacterized. NCBI's taxonomy places the organism in Eukaryota, Metazoa, Arthropoda, Insecta, Coleoptera, Coccinellidae. The transcript is spliced from 2 exons. The record is from RefSeq and is a predicted model, not a curated record.